CCCUUAGACGUUCUGGGCCGCACGCGCGCUACACUGACGUAGGCAACGAGCUUUCCUUCACCGAAAGGUGUGGGUAAUCUUUUGAAACUACGUCGUGCUGGGGAUAGAUCCUUGCAAUUUUUGAUCUUAAACGAGGAAUUCCUAGUAAGCGCGAGUCAUCAACUCGCGUUGAUUACGUCCCUGCCCUUUGUACACACCGCCCGUCGCUACUACCGAUUGAAUGCUUGUAUGAGGCCUUUGGAUUGGCACCCUGUGCUGAGAAAAUGAACAAAUACCAGCAUUUAGAGGAAGUAAAAGUCGUAACA
RNAcentral lists this ribosomal RNA (305 nucleotides) under uncultured eukaryote. RNAcentral's name for it is "partial 18S ribosomal RNA". It matches the Rfam family "Eukaryotic small subunit ribosomal RNA", at positions 1470 to 1796 of the family's 1831-position model. The record is from RNAcentral.